This 595-nucleotide ribosomal RNA is filed under the name uncultured archaeon. RNAcentral describes it as "bacterial SSU rRNA". It matches the Rfam family "Archaeal small subunit ribosomal RNA", at positions 429 to 1024 of the family's 1478-position model. The record is from RNAcentral.
AGAGAAGUAGGGGCCGGGUAAGACGGGUGCCAGCCGCCGCGGUAAUACCCGCGGCUCGAGUGGUGGUCGAUAUUAUUGAGCCUAAAACGUUCGUAGCCGGUCUUGUAAAUCCUUGGGUAAAUCGGCCAGCUUAACUGUCCGAAGUCCGGGGAGACUGCAAGACUUGGGAUCGGGAGAGGUCAGAGGUACUUCUGGGGUAGGGGUAAAAUCCUGUAAUCCUAGAAGGACCACCGGUGGCGAAGGCGUCUGACUAGAACGAAUUCGACGGUGAGGAACGAAGCCCUGGGGCGCAAACGGGAUUAGAUACCCCGGUAGUCCAGGGUGUAAACGCUGCGGGCUUGGUGUUGGGGGUCCUUAGUGGGCGCCCAGUGCCGGAGAGAAGUUGUUAAGCCUGCUGCUUGGGGAGUACGUCCGCAAGGAUGAAACUUAAAGGAAUUGGCGGGGGAGCACCGCAACGGGAGGAGCGUGCGGUUCAAUUGGAUUCAACGCCGGACAACUCACCAGGAGCGACGAUUACAUGAAGGCCAGGCUGAUGACCUUGCCUGAUUUUUCGAGAGGUGGUGCAUGGCCGUCGUCAGUUCGUACUGUGAAGCAU